This 222-nucleotide unclassified non-coding RNA is filed under the name uncultured Russula. RNAcentral's name for it is "sequence contains ITS1". The record is from RNAcentral. Lineage: Eukaryota; Fungi; Basidiomycota; Agaricomycetes; Russulales; Russulaceae.
UGGUACUACAGAGGUGCGAAGGUUGUCGCUGACCUUUCUGAAAGGUCGUGCACACCGGAGUGCUCUCACACAAUCCACCUCACCACUUGUGCACCACCAUGCGGAGGCCCCUUGCUCUUGGCUCGCUUCGAGAGGGGGGAGGCUUUCGUUUUUUUUACACACACACACAAUACAGUAUGGUAGUUUAGAAUGUCAUUCAUUUGCGAUAACACGCAAUCAAUA